Molecule: ribosomal RNA, 254 nt
Filed under: uncultured bacterium
Lineage: Bacteria
Description: partial 16S ribosomal RNA
Rfam family: Bacterial small subunit ribosomal RNA
Source: RNAcentral
UACGAAGGGGGCUAGCGUUGUUCGGAAUCACUGGGCGUAAAGCGCACGCAGGCGGAUCGUUAAGUCAGGGGUGAAAUGCCGAGGCUCAACCUCGGAACUGCCUUUGAUACUGGCGAUCUUAGAGUCCGGGAGAGGUGAGUGGAACUCCGAGUGUAGAGGUGAAAUUCGUAGAUAUUCGGAAGAACACCAGUGGCGAAGGCGGCUCACUGGCCCGGAACUGACGCUGAGGCACGAAAGCGUGGGGAGCAAACAGG